Long non-coding RNA from Drosophila nasuta, 558 nucleotides. RefSeq lists it as uncharacterized. The transcript is spliced from 3 exons. NCBI's taxonomy places the organism in Eukaryota, Metazoa, Arthropoda, Insecta, Diptera, Drosophilidae. The record is from RefSeq and is a predicted model, not a curated record.
GGGGCAAAGAAAACCGAUAAACUGCGUGAUGUAUAAAUUAUUUUGUGGGUACCAAUGAACACAACACGUAAGUCUCCCAGAUUGCGUCCAUUUAACGUAACGUACAGACAAAUCAAAUAAAUAUUUUGGCCUGCGGUUGAAUGGAGGAGACUCCUCAUAACAAUUACCCGACCCGCAACUGGCCACGUCGGCGGCGUCUGCAAAUUAAUAAUAAUCAAGCCAAAUUACACAAUGACACGCACUUGAAGUCUGAGUUGAGUCGAGUUGAGUUGAGACGCGUCUUCGGGGUCUUGAAGACUCGUGCGAGUGCUCGACUAUCAAUUAGGCACAUCUUUCAAUCAAAAAAACGACUCUGAAAACAAAAAGCAACUCUCGAGAGAUUUGUCUGUCUGUCCGUCCGUCGGUCUCACAAAGAAUUAGCGCUAAUAAUUAGAGACGCGACUUGAGGACUUGGAACUUUGGUCUAUAGAUAAAUAUCAAACAAUUAUUAUUAUCAUCGUACGCCAACGCUUCACACGAUCUCUUCAAGUGAUCUUGCCUGUGUUUUGUCUCCUGUCA